CAUAGAGUACCGCACUUUAAAAUCAUAUUAUAUUUGUUUUUACUUUUUAUACAAAUUAGAUUAUUGUAGUUCGUAAAUAAUUGCAUUUAUUAGAUAGUUGACAAGUAGAAGUUGACAAGUAGAAUUUGACUAAUGAUGCUUAUUUCAGAAAAAUAAUAGAUAAGUACAGGUUAUAUCGGAAGGCAAUGUUAAAAUCGUAAAUAUACCAUACAACACAAAAGUUUCUUUGUCGGAUACGGGACGUAAAUUGACGUAGUUUGUAUAAAAUUAUUGCUGAAAAUGAAUUCGGCGAGGACGAAGCUACUGUUGAAGUGAUCAUUCUGUGUCCUCCAACAAGACCUCAAGUUCUUCUGAAAGUGAAAGAUGUUAAAAGCAGUGGGGCCUAAGUCAAAUGAGACAAACCAACGGAUGAAAAAUAUUUUGAAGUAAACAUCGAUAUCAUAUUGUAUGUAAACCACUGAUCAAUCGUGAAUAACUACAGAAGGUGGUCGUAUGAGUGGGUCAAAUUGUGAAGUUUGACGUAGACGUACGUGGUGAACCUCUACCAAUUUAUGAUAUGGUCCUCGGGCAAUAAAUAAUUGAUAAAUGGACGUUCAGUGAAAAUGAAAAAUGAAGAUUAUAAUACAAAACUAAAUUUAUCUGAAAAUACUAGAAAAAAUACUGAAGUCUAUACCUAGUUUAUGAGCAAAAAAUGCUUCAGGUUUUGUUUAUUAUUUUAGAUAAACCUGGACCCCCAGUUGGGCCACUUGAAGUCACAGACGUACAUAAAGAAAUAUGUACAUUACUCUGGAAUAAACCUAAGGAUGAAGGUGGAUUGCCAAUUACUGGGGAAUUAUUUGCGAAAAUGGAUACCACAACUAGAAAAUGGGUGCAUGCAGGUUUUGUUGAUCCAACAAAAACUGAACACAAAAUAAACGAUCUGGAACCAAAUAGAAAGUAUCAUUUCAAAGUGGAAGCCUUAAACGAGGAAGGAGAAUCCGAACCAUAUGAUUCUGAUGCUAAGAUAGUUCCAAAAAAUCCUUAUGAUACGCCUGGUCCUCUGGGAUUAUCGAAAGUUACUGACUAUGAUAAAAAUAUGGUAGAAUUAAAAUGGGAUGCACCGUUUAGGGAUGGCAGAGCUCCAAUUACAGGAUAUAUAAUCGAAAUGAAGAGCCGAUAAUUUGAUAGUUCAUUCGUAAAGCUGCUGAAGUUACGAGAAAUGUCUGCAAAAGUAAAAUUCCAAAAUUAGAAAACGGACAACAAUACCAAUUUCGAGUACGUGCUGGUGAACCUAGCGAAGAGUCUCUUCCUCAUAUUGUCAAAGCCAAAUUCAUGACCUAACCAAGAAAAGAGAACAAACUUAUAAAGCUUGGUCAUGAAAGUAGGACAUACAAAAUUAAUUUAAUUUACGUGAACAUAAGUGGAGAACCUGUACCUACAGUCACAUGGUCAUUUAAAGACGCUAAACUAACUACAGGCAACUCACUGGAAAUCAAUAACAUGGAAUACCAUACAAAAUUAAUGAUCAUUACGGUUUUGCGGGUUCAUAGUGGUUUAUACACAAUUAAAUCUAUAAACUCAGUCGGAAAAGACACAGCCACUUUUGAUAUUAUUAUAUUAGAAAAACCAACUAAGCCAGGUGUCCGUUUGAAGUAACUGAUGAGACGAAAAAUGGAUGCAAAUUAAAAUGGAAGAAGCCAUAGGAUGACGGUUGCACGCCUAUAGAGUAUUAUGAAAUAGAAAAACUUGAUCCAUUAAUUGGUCAAUGGAUACCAUGUCGUAAAUCAAGCGCAUCAGAAGCAAACAUAACUGGUUUACAGGAAGGUAAAUAAUAUAAAUUCCGUGUGAGGGCAGUCAACAAAGAAGGAGAAUCAGAUGAUCUAGAAGCUGAUAAAUUCAUAGUAGCAAUGCAUCCAUUUGUCCAAUGUGAGUUAAGGGCUCUCAAGUAAUUGCUGAUGUGAACAGUGGAGUUGUUCCUGAUAACAGAAGGAAUUCAGUAUGAGUUUAGGCUGCGCACAGUAAAUAAAGCUGGACCUGGUGAAGCAAGUGAACCAACAUUACCUUGCUGAACUCAAAAAGUAGGCCCCACCAUAUUGAUAGGAACACUCUCUUGGACAUCAAAGUUCAGGCUGGAAACAUGUUUGAAUUUUAUGUUAAAGUGUCUGGAGAACCUCCUCCAACUAAAGAAUGGUCUCUUAGUGGAGACUUGCUAGUAAAAACUGAGAGCAUUAAUAUAAUAAAUCAAGAUCACUCGACAAAACUGAAAGUUAUUGAUGCCAAGCGUUCUGACGACAAAAUUUAUUACUUGGUAGCAAUAAUGGAAUGAACAAAAUUGCAGUAAAAGUUACAACUAUAGAUGUACCACAACCACCCGAGGGACCUUUACAUCCAGUAUGUAACGAGAAAUUCAUGUGUGUUAAAAUAGAAUCCACCAAAAGAUGAUGGUGGAUCAGAAGUCACACUACAUAGUUUCCUUAGGAGAAAGCUGCGACAGUAAACGGAAAUAAAACCAUUGCCUCAGUCCCGGAUCUUACUGAAGGCCGUGCAUAUGAAUUCCGAGGUAUAGCUGUAAAUAAAAGUGGCCCUGGGGACCCCAGUGAUGCAUCUGAACUAAUAAACAUGUAAACCAAAAUUCUUUGAACCAGUAAUAGAUUUAUACUUGAUCUGAUAGUACGUGCUGGUAAUAAAAUAAAUUACACUUAUCCAAUUGAGGCAGCUCCUGACCAACAGUGAAAUUGAAUGUUAAUGAAUCACCAAUUGAUAGUGGCUCUAGAGUGGAUUAGCAAAAUUAUAACAGUCGAGUUAUAUAUGAAAUACCGUUUUCAGUACGGAAUGACACUGUCAGUUACACACUAACAUUAAAAAAUAACUUGAUUUAUAUGUUUUUUAAUGAUUUACAAAUUCCCAAAUUAAAUUAACAGUGAAUUACAAUUUAUUUAUAAUUAUUUUCAAUUAAUUUUGAAUUUUUUCGUAUUAAGUUUGGGGCCUGAUUCUUCUACGUUUAUUAAUAGUAAAUAUUGGGCUCAGAACCGAAAGAUGCUAUCUCAAAAUAUAUUAUUCAGGAGAACUGUAACUGUAUUAUCUUUUUUUGUUACAAAUUUUAAUUAUUUAACAAUUCACAAAGUUGUUAUAUGUUAACAUUGGUAAUUUGUUUUGUUUUUCUUAAUGUGAAAAAACAAAACUAAAAAAGUUCUGAUAGAAAUCAAAAAGAUCUUUAAAUAGAACCUUUUAGCUGCUAAUGUAAUUGUUUUCACUUAAUUAGAACUUUUUCAUUCUGAAUUAAAGCUUUAUUUUUACUGAAACGUUCCUAACCUCAAAAUAAUAAAAAAUGUGGCAAUGGCUUUUCAUUUAAAUAGAUUCCUAUUUACAAUGCAGUACUUUGGAGGGAGGGGGUUAAGGGUUCAACUUAUCAGAUUGUGUAAUCUUACAAAUAAUGAUGGAUAACUUUCUAAACAAGAAGAGAAUUGAGAAAUUGAUCAUCAAACCUGCGUGUUAAAAAUAAGUGGAUUUUUAAAAAAAUCAAUCUAGCACCUUUAUAUUCUGAGCCCUCACAAAAGCUUAUCAAAAAUAAAUAUAAAUAAUAAGUAGUUUGAUAUUUUCGUUACAGCUAAUAAUAGUUUAUACCAACUUUUUAUAGAAUAUUGUUGAUAUUCUGUGAGCCAAAUAAUAUUAUUAUGCAUACUGCUAAUUUUCAGUUUUUACUCAACACAAUAAAAGUUAUUAUAAUGGUAACCAUAAAAUAUAUUAUUCCAAGAAUAAAGAAACUGUACAAACAUUUAUUUAUUAUUUUGUAAUAAAUUGUAAAACAAUAAUUUUGAGACUCGUUUUAAUAUUAUAUCUAAUAUUAUUUAUUGCCUCAAUGAUGUUAGAUCGUAGGUAAAUUGGUUAGGUAGCAAAAAAUCACGUGACAUCCAAAAAAUAAACUAUGUUUUUAACUAUAAUUUAUAAAAAAAGCGUAAAAAUUCAUAGAAAUCGAAAAAAAAAAUGUAACCAGUUUGAUGUUAGUGAGACCUAUUUUUUUUAUUAUAUACAGGUUUUUUUAUUGAAAUACAAUUUAUGACAAAAUCUAUUUUUAAUAUAAAAUCUAAGUAGAACAAAAAAAAAUUUUGAUUGAAUAAAAAAAGCUUAAUUGAAUAAAAAAAAUCUAUAUUCAAUAAAAUAAAUCUUGAUUAAAUUAAUCAAACCUAAAUAGAAAUAAAAAAAUUCGAAAUAAAAAUCAAAAAAUAUUAAUAAAACAUGUUUGACAAAUAAAU
This is a long non-coding RNA of Metopolophium dirhodum (rose-grain aphid), 4232 nucleotides long. RefSeq lists it as uncharacterized. Lineage: Eukaryota; Metazoa; Arthropoda; Insecta; Hemiptera; Aphididae. The record is from RefSeq and is a predicted model, not a curated record. The transcript has 15 exons.